GACUCUGGCUACAAGCAGACUUCGUCCGGACUCCUACGGGAGUCGGACUCCACCCCCAACUUCACUUACAGGCAGACUUCGUCCGGACUCCUACGGGAGCCGGACUCCGCCCACAACUCCAAUUGCAAGCAGAUUUUGUCCGGACUCCUACUGGAGCCGGAUCUCAUCCCCGACUUCGACUACAGGAAGACUUCGUCCAGACUCCUACGGGAGCCGGACUCCGAGCUCCUACCACAAGCGACCCACUCCGAGUCUCCGCUGCAA
Molecule: long non-coding RNA, 264 nt
Filed under: Elaeis guineensis (African oil palm)
Lineage: Eukaryota; Viridiplantae; Streptophyta; Magnoliopsida; Arecales; Arecaceae
Description: long non-coding RNA (EGUI_LNC074398)
Source: RNAcentral